This 90-nucleotide transfer RNA is filed under the name SAR202 cluster bacterium AD-804-J14_MRT_500m. Its description in RNAcentral is "tRNA-Ser". It matches the Rfam family "tRNA". Rfam says of the family: Transfer RNA (tRNA) molecules are approximately 80 nucleotides in length. Their secondary structure includes four short double-helical elements and three loops (D, anti-codon, and T loops). The record is from RNAcentral. Lineage: Bacteria; Bacillati; Chloroflexota; Dehalococcoidia.
GGAGAGGUGGCCGAGUGGUUGAAGGCGCCGCUCUCGAAAAGCGGUAUGCGGGUGACCGUAUCGCGGGUUCGAAUCCCGCCCUCUCCGCCA